CACACGGGGACUGAGACACGGCCCCGACUCCUACGGGAGGCAGCAGCAAGGAAUAUUCCACAAUGGGCGAAAGCCUGAUGGAGCGACGCCGCGUGGAGGAUGACGCCUUUCGGGGUGUAAACUCCUUUUCUCAGUGACGAAGACAGUGACGGUAGCUGAGGAAUAAGCACCGGCUAACUACGUGCCAGCCGCCGCAGUAACAC
Molecule: ribosomal RNA, 203 nt
Filed under: uncultured bacterium
Lineage: Bacteria
Description: partial 16S ribosomal RNA
Rfam family: Bacterial small subunit ribosomal RNA
Source: RNAcentral